Papaver somniferum (opium poppy) is the source of this 292-nucleotide long non-coding RNA. RefSeq lists it as uncharacterized. Lineage: Eukaryota; Viridiplantae; Streptophyta; Magnoliopsida; Ranunculales; Papaveraceae. The transcript is spliced from 4 exons. The record is from RefSeq and is a predicted model, not a curated record.
AAUCUAAUUCGAUUUUUCUUUCUAAUUUCCUGUUAGGGUUUGAAGAAUUUUGAAGACUUGAAGAUUGAAGAAUUUUGAAGAUCCAGGAGAGGAUCAUCUCAAGGCGUGCACUGUCAAAGUAACUCACUAAGUCUGCAAUUGCAGAUUCAAAUCUGGUUGUUUGAGAAAAAGGAUAUAAGGAUCGAGGGACGAAUUAUUGUCUGGAUUCUUCUCUUUCUCACUGACCCAAGCUUCCAACAAAAGCAAGCCUGCAAAGGAUAUAAAGCUUAGCUGCAAGGGUGGAGAACAAAGC